RNAcentral lists this long non-coding RNA (1239 nucleotides) under Homo sapiens (human). RNAcentral's name for it is "HSALNT0401276". The record is from RNAcentral. Lineage: Eukaryota; Metazoa; Chordata; Mammalia; Primates; Hominidae.
UGCUCUGAAGUCACAGGCCUGACUUCCAGACUAGGCUCUGCCCCUAAGGAAAUCACCUUUCUGGUCUUAGUCUCCCCAUCUGAAAAUGGCAUAACCAACCUACCUGCCUCAAAUACAAGACCCUGCUUGUGAAGGUGAGCUAUUUAGGAGACUACCAUCUUUCCUUUGAACUCCAACAGCUCUUUAUGCGUCCCCCUCCUGGGACACAUCUCACUGACUUAUCUCCCCAUUAGUCAGUGAGGAGCAAUUGGAAAGGCGGGUUCUGGGUCCAGUUCAGAGCAGGCCUCCUGACCCCUAGGGCUGAGAAGCUGAGACCCUGCCAGAGCACUGAGGCUAUGGGCCAGCCCAGGUCGGUGCAUUCAUUCCCAUUCGCUCAUCUCCUUCCCGGCGUUCUGCUCUGAGCCCAUCACCAGAGGCAAGGGAGUUUCUAGCUUGAGGAUCAGACGUCAUCCUCCGCAGACUGCCUUCCCCACCUCAUCUGCACCCAGCGUAUCCCAGACCCUGGCCAGCUCCACGGGCGCCACAGAGGUGGAGAGGGACCCAACCCCGACUGGCCAAGGCAGGGCCACGGAAGUCUGGGGAGACCGUGCGGCCGCGGGCUGGCGGCGGAGGAGCGAGGCGCUGACGCCGAUUCCCGGGAAAGGCUCUUAGAGCUGCCGCCCAGGUCACAACGCUAAAAAUACCCAGGGCCCCUGGAGCCUGUGCUCCAGCAGCGAGGAGGGGGAGGGAGAGGCCAAGGUGGGGGAGCUGACGGGGGCCAGGGGCUCUGGGACACCCCCUCUCUUUUCCCCUCCCCCUAACCCCACCGAUCUCACGAGACUGAAGGAGCUGUCCCCCGGGGGGCCGCGGAGCCCAGAGCUGGAGAAAGGGAGUUGUUUACGCGACCUAUAGGUACUGGAAAGGGGGUGAAGAGAUUUGGGGGCAGGAGGCUGCCAGGGGCCGGGCAGGAGCCAGCGAAAUGGAGAACUCCCUCUCGGUCUCAGCCCCACCCGCACUGGAGCCAGCAAGAGGGAAAAAAUUCCCUAAAAAGGGACACGAGGCGUCGGCGGAGGACGGGGGGAGGGCGCUCCCCCAAGGCCGUUCCCCUCGUGCUCCGGUCCCCUCCGCGGUCCACCGCGGCACCUGCGCCCACCGCCGCCGGAGCCCCUACCUGCAGCGCUGGCGCCCCCUCUGACUCAGUCCGUCCGCUCCAGCGAGGCGGAAGUGGGGGAGGGGCGGUGGCGGGCUCACUCGCUCGCA